Molecule: long non-coding RNA, 2145 nt
Organism: Oreochromis aureus
Lineage: Eukaryota; Metazoa; Chordata; Actinopteri; Cichliformes; Cichlidae
Source: Ensembl
UGGAGAGAGAAAUAACAUCGUGGAAGAGACAUAAAUAUAUGGGGAAGAUCACCUCAGAACACGGUCCCUCAGUAUUGGUGCCCCUCAAGGCUGUGUCCUCUCACCACUAUUGUUCUCCCUCUACACCAAUGACUGCACCUCCAAGAACUCGGCUGUAUGGCUGCAACUCCUGAUUUUUGCAGAUGACACCACCGUCAUUGGCCUCAUUCAGGAUGGCGAUGAGUCUGCAUAUCAACAGGAAGUUGAGCGGCUGGUACACUGGUGCAGUCAGCACAACCUGGAGGUGAACACACUUAAGACUGCAGAGAUGACAGUGGACUUCAGGAGACAUCCCUCAAUACUGCUCCCUCUCACAUUAUCUGACAGCCCGGUGUCUACUGUGGAGAUCUUCAAGUUCCUGGGUACCACCAUCUCCCAGGACCUGAAGUGGGAGACUAACAUCUCCUCCAUCCGCAAAAAGACCCAGCAGACGUCGUACUUCCUGAGACAACUGGAGAAGUACAGUCUUCCACAAGAGCUGCUGAUCCAGUUCUACACUGCAGUCAUUGAGUCUGUCCUGUGUUACUCCAUCACAGUUUGGUAUGGAGCAGCCACUAAACAGGACAGGUGCAGACUGCAGCGGACUGUACGGGUAGCAGAAAAGAUUAUCGACGCCCCCUGCCCUCCAUCCAGGACUUGUAAUGGGCAGGGAAAAUCGUUACAGAUCCCUCACACCUUGGACACAGACUUUUUCACCUGCUGCCUUCUAUAAAUUACACUGGGACACAGUGCAGUUUCUGAUAGUUCAUCUUCAUUUAAAUGAUAAAGUUUACACCACCCAUAAGGCAAAAAAAAAAUGUUUCAAUCUUACUAUGUAGCGCCAGAGCUCAUUUUGCUAUAACUGCUAAUAAGCUACUUAAUACACUGUAUACAGUAGGCAUUUUAGUGAGACUUUAAAGCACUGGAUAAAAGAAUAAGUUAAUGAGAACAUUUAAAUCAUUCUGCUUUGUUUUGAUAUAUUGGCCUUUGGGGGGAAACAUAGAACUAAAAAAGCACAGAUAUUAUGAUCACUUAUGUAUCAUUUGGUUUUCUAUUUAUAAAAUCUUUUCCAUUUCCAUCUAUGAUCUUUUUAAAAUCUUUGUAUCUAUAUAGUUUAUGAAUGCUGGGCUUUGCACUGCAGUGUAAAUAUACUUUCAAGUGUUUUUGUACAGAAUAUAGAAACUAAAGACAGAAAUAUUAGCUGAACCAGUGCUGUUCCUUAAAACCACCUGUAGUGCAUUAUCAUUACACUGGUAUUUUGACGUGUUCAGGACUCCCCAAUAAAAAUAAAAGUAAGAUAAAAGAGUAGCACAAUAAAGUUGUAUUCACACAGUAUAUCAGCAUUUUAAAUUUUAAACAAAUAUUUUAAACAAAUUUCCCACGUGUGGGACUAAUAAAGGUUAUCUUAUCUUAUCUUAUCUUAAACCGUGACUUUAUUUGCUCUUCUGAACUGUGGGAAAGACAUGAACAUGUACAUAGCUACUGAAAUACUAAAAAUACUAAUCACCAGACUUUUUUUUUUUUUUUAAAUAUAAAUGAUUCCCACGCACCAUAAAAUGCUCAUUUGUGGUUUUUAUUUUUUCAGUUGUAUUAGAUAAAGUGCUGACUGGUGUACAACCACACAAAAACUAAUAUGUCAUGUCAUGUUUUCACAUGACAAUAACUCUUUUAGACUUGAACUGAUGAUAAACACACAGACAGUACAGAUGGAGACAAAUAAACUGUACUUGUUUUUUUACUGUUUCUUCUAUUUAAAGCUGAAGCUGACACAAGCUAUUAUAGUUUCUUUUACUUGUAGUUGCAGGCAUUAUACUUUCAGUGUUUCAUUUUUUUUCAGUGAAUUUUGAAGCCAGGAAACUGAACCAAUUCUGAGUAUCUCCACUUGUACUUUCAGUUAUGUCAACACCGUAUUUCAGUAAUUCUGUUCGUAUCUUAAAGAUGGCAUCAUUAUUUUCCUGACACGACAGCAAUCCAGGGACCUUCUUAUGGUAGAAAACAUGAACACACAAAACGACCUUACAAGAAUCCUUCCAUGUUUUCGCUGAGGAUACAGAUCUGGCUCCAUAUGUGUGAUGCAUCACAACCAGUAUGACAGGUUUAUCACCUGCAGUACAGAAAACAAAAAAC